CAAAAAUGACAGCUUCUUUUCUCUCCUGUGCCCCCAGACUUCCUACCUAAACACAGAUCUCCAGAGACAGAGGAGUGGAAGAAGAGGCAAUAAAUCAUCCACAUUUGGGCAGGAUCAUCUUGCAAAUAAAGACAUACCACUCAACCGAGAGGCUAAGUCCAUCAGUUGAGGCUGUGAAAUCCACUGCAGAAUGUCUUAAUUGAAAGAAAAAAAAUAAUAAACUCUUUCAGGAAACGAGCCCCGCGUUGACAGGAAACAGGACUGUUCCAUGUGUUGGACAAACGUCCCUUCUGAAGAAAAGUGCUGGUCCUUCCACUACUGACACAUCUAUGCAGGCUGACUUAAACCAAUAGCUGAGCUUCUGGGGAAAAGUGGGGACACUGUCUUCCGAAGGCCCCUGCCACGUAAAGGAUUUUCUGCUGUGAGUGUGUGCUAUUCUUAUGACGGGGAAAAAACGAGCUUUGAAGGACCGUGCUUCUGUGUUGAAUGUAGCAUCUACACAGGCAUCUACUUUGAACAGCUCUGAGAAUAUGCUCCAGGGAGUGAAGUGAGGAAUAACACAACCAUCCUGGCGCUGGCCUCCCUGCUUCUACCCUUGACUCCCUCCAGCUGGUGCUCUGCACGGCAACCAGAGGACACAUCAUCUUUUAAUACACGACGCAGCCCACUUAUUCAGCACAGGCUUCAAUGUGUAAUUGGCAGGCCAAGAGACUGAGCUCUCCCAGCUCAUCUGUGCUGUGAAAAUGUGGAAAUCGCCUUUUGUGCCUGUUUUCCUCUCCCAGAAUAUAUAUUUUUUUGGCAGAGAAAUGAGCACAUUGUCUAUAUACCCCUACAUUUGUCUACUUGUGUAUUUAUUACAACUGGCCGUGUAAAGGUACAUCAUAUAGGUCAUUGCAUAUGACUUAGGUCUCUACUAAUUCUGUUUGAGUCAUUGCCAAAUACAUUUCCAAAAUGGCCCUAACGUAAAGACAUACUCAAUUUCAUUGAGAUGUAUAUUUAUAUUCUUUUUGGAAGGAUACUAUAUGCACAUGGUUCAAUAGUCCAAAGAUAGAAAAAGGUAUACAGUGAAAAAUGUCCCUGUCUUCCAGUUCCCCGGUGCCCCUCGCUAGUGGUAACUAUUGUUAGCAGUGUCUUAUGUAUUCUUACAAACAUAUUGUAUUGCUACCAAAGUAAAUUCAUACAUAAUAUAUAGUUCCCUUUUUUACCCCCAAAGCAGCAUACUCCACACACUAUUCUCUCUACCUUGCUUUUAUUAGUUCAUCUAGGCGAUCAUUCUGAAUCAGUACAUAAAGAUUCUCCUUACGGUUUUGUAGUGGCAUGUCAUUCCAUUGAGUGUAUGUGUCCAAAAUUUUUUAUUUAUUUUUAAAUAUUUUAUUAAAAAUUUUAAAUAAUGUUUAUUUAUUUUUGAGAGAGAGAGAGAGAGAGAGAGAGAGAAUGAGUGAGCAGGGGAGAGGCAGAGAGAGAGGGAGACACAGAACCCGAAGCAGGUUCUAGGCUCUGAGCCAUCAGCACACAGCCCAAUUCGAGACUCAAACCCAUGAACCGUGAGAUCAUGACCUGAGCUGAAGUCGGAUGCUUAACCGACUGAGCCAGCCAGGCUCCCCUAAAGAUUUUAUUUUUAAGUAAAUUCUACACCCAACGUGGGAUUCCAACUUACAACCCAAGAUCAAGAGUCACACGCUUGACCAACUGAGACAUCUAGGUGCCCCAUGCACGUGUCAAAAUUACUUAGCCAGUCCUAUACCGGUAGAUGUCUGGAUGUUGGCAUUGUUUCCAAUCUUUUGGUAUCAUAGACAAUACCUGUAUAUAUAAGUCAUUUUGCACAUAUACAACUGUAUCUGUAGAAUACAUUCCUAGAGGUAAUUCAAUUUGUCACUUUGUGCAUUUAUAAUAUUGCUGCAUAUCUUAUUUUUGGGUAUGAGGACACAGGAUUUUCAAGAUGUCAACCUCUGGGGUGCCUGGCUGGCUCAGUCGGUAGAGCAUACGACUCUUGAUCUUGGAGUUGUUAGAGCUCUACACUGGGUACAGAGAUACUUAAAAAAUAUAUAUAUUUUACUUAAUAUAUAUUACUUUAUAUACAUGACUUAUAAUAUGUGUAUAUAUAUACACACACAU
Molecule: long non-coding RNA, 2115 nt
Organism: Acinonyx jubatus (cheetah)
Lineage: Eukaryota; Metazoa; Chordata; Mammalia; Carnivora; Felidae
Exons: 3
Source: RefSeq, a predicted model, not a curated record